UUUUAGUAGAUGAUUUAUUAAUUUUAUUGGUGGUGUAUAGCACUGAAUAUCUAGUAAUAUUGAUUAUUAGAAGGGAGUAUGAAAGUACUUACUUUGGAUAUUUAAUCUCAGAAUAACUGAUAAAGUAAUAAGAUAAGUUAUCAGACUUUUUGCGAUAAGGUGAG
Molecule: ribosomal RNA, 164 nt
Filed under: Pneumocystis sp.
Lineage: Eukaryota; Fungi; Ascomycota; Pneumocystomycetes; Pneumocystales; Pneumocystaceae
Description: partial large subunit ribosomal RNA
Source: RNAcentral